RNAcentral lists this non-coding RNA (844 nucleotides) under Utterbackia peninsularis (peninsular floater). The record is from RNAcentral. Lineage: Eukaryota; Metazoa; Mollusca; Bivalvia; Unionida; Unionidae.
AUUAAUAUUUCAUUGAUGUACAUAGUUAGCUACCUAAAUUUAACUACAUAUGGCAGCCUAUACGCAUUGUAUAAUGACCCGUUUCUACCCAACCUUUAAAAGGCUGACCUAGCAUACGGCUCUAGGGUACUCACUUCAGUACUCAAAAGUUUACAACACCAAUGUUUUAUAUUAUGCCAGCUAGGAAACUAGGCCAUAGAAAAUAAGUAUAUAGAGGUGGCAAAAAGUGGUGCCAGCAGUCGCGGUUAUACCAAUACCUCAAGCUAAUUUUAGCAAAUUGGAGCAGUUUUUAAUAUAGACUACAAAACUAACUUUUAACGUAAAAACCAAAUUUUAACUAAACCCCAACUAGUCAUACCAAAACUACUCCAACAAACCACAACCUCAGAACUCGGAUUAGAUACCCGACUACUGUGUGGCUCAACACAUAGAAGAACACUACGAGCGAAAGCUUAAACCUCAAACAAUGUGGCGGUGCUUUAUACCUCAUCAGGGGAUCCUGUGACUUAAUUCGAUAAUCCACGAAAAUCCAAGCUAUUCUAGUUUCCAGCUUGUGUACGGCCGUUUAUGCUUGCUCGCAAAAGAAAAAAAAGGAAGCAAUUGGUCUAAUAACCCAAGAAUUCAGGUGACAUACAGCCAAUGAAAAGCAGAUCAUGGGAUACAAAUAAAUAUACUAACAGAUUUAAAUCUUAAAAAUCUAAUGAAGGAGGACUUGAAAGUAAGGUUUAUUUUAGAAAAAAAAUCUGAAUAAGAACUAAAGCGCGCACAAAUCGCCCGUCACUCCGACAUAUAAAGUGGGAUAAGUCGUAACAUAGUAGGGGUAAUGGAAAUUGCCCCUAUUGCA